GAUGAACGCUGGCGGCGUGCCUAAUACAUGCAAGUCGAGCGAACGGACGAGAAGCUUGCUUCUCUGAUGUUAGCGGCGGACGGGUGAGUAACACGUGGAUAACCUACCUAUAAGACUGGGAUAACUUCGGGAAACCGGAGCUAAUACCGGAUAAUAUUUUGAACCGCAUGGUUCAAAAGUGAAAGACGGUCUUGCUGUCACUUAUAGAUGGAUCCGCGCUGCAUUAGCUAGUUGGUAAGGUAACGGCUUACCAAGGCAACGAUGCAUAGCCGACCUGAGAGGGUGAUCGGCCAACCUGGACCUGGGACACGGUCCAGCCUCCACCGGAGGGCAGCGGUGGGGAAUCUUCCGCAAUGGGCGAAAGCCUGACGGAGCAACGCGGCGUGGGUGAUGAAGGUCUUCGGAUCGUAAACCUCUGUUAUUGGGAAAGAACAUAUGUGUAAGUACCUGUGCCCAUCUGACCGGUACCUAAUCAAAAGGCCCCGGCUACCUACGG
This 496-nucleotide ribosomal RNA is filed under the name uncultured bacterium. Its description in RNAcentral is "partial 16S ribosomal RNA". It matches the Rfam family "Bacterial small subunit ribosomal RNA", at positions 28 to 506 of the family's 1533-position model. The record is from RNAcentral.